UACGCAGGGUGCAAGCGUUAAUCGGAAUUACUGGGCGUAAAGCGUGCGCAGGCGGCGCGUUAAGACAGGUGUGAAAGCCCCGAGCUUAACUUGGGAAUUGCGCUUGUGACUGGCGUGCUGGAGUGUGGCAGAGGGAGGUGGAAUUCCACGUGUAGCAGUGAAAUGCGUAGAGAUGUGGAGGAACACCGAUGGCGAAGGCAGCCUCCUGGGCCAGCACUGACGCUCAUGCACGAAAGCGUGGGGAGCAAACAGG
RNAcentral lists this ribosomal RNA (253 nucleotides) under uncultured bacterium. Its description in RNAcentral is "partial 16S ribosomal RNA". It matches the Rfam family "Bacterial small subunit ribosomal RNA", at positions 524 to 776 of the family's 1533-position model. The record is from RNAcentral.